Molecule: small RNA, 649 nt
Filed under: Pan troglodytes (chimpanzee)
Lineage: Eukaryota; Metazoa; Chordata; Mammalia; Primates; Hominidae
Description: processed transcript
Source: RNAcentral
AGGGGGCAUCUUUAAGCAAGGUGUCCCUGCCUUCACUGUGCUCCAACCUGAAGGUCCCCUGGCAGUGCUGAGGGACCGAGCCCAGCAGAUCUCAUGUCCUCUAUACCUGUGUCCGAUGCUGGAGGCCCUCGAGGAAGGGGGGCCGCCGCUGACCCUGGGCCUGGAGGGGGAGCACCAGCGGUCCAACGCCGCCUUGGCCUUGCAGCUGGCCCACUGCUGGCUGCAGUGGCAGGACCGCCAUGGUGCUGGGGAGCCAAAGGCAUCCAGGCCAGGGCUCCUGUGGCAGCUGCCCCUGGCACCCGUGUUCCAGCCCACAUCCCACAUGCGGCUCGGGCUUCGGAACACGGAGUGGCCGGGCCGGACGCAGGUGCUGCGGCGCGGGCCCCUCACCUGGUACCUGGACGGUGCGCACACGGCCAGCAGCGUGCAGGCCUGCGUGCGCUGGUUCCGCCAGGCGCUGCAGGGCCGCGAGAGGCCGAGCGGUGGCCCCGAGGUUCGAGUCUUGCUCUUCAAUGCUACCGGGGACCGGGACCCGGCGGCCCUGCUGAAGCUGCUGCAGACCAACAGAACUUCACAGUGACACUGGACCAGGUUCUGCUCCGCUGCCUGGAACACCAGCAGCACUGGAACCACCUGGACGAAGAGCAGG